This 250-nucleotide ribosomal RNA is filed under the name uncultured bacterium. RNAcentral's name for it is "partial 16S ribosomal RNA". It matches the Rfam family "Bacterial small subunit ribosomal RNA", at positions 524 to 771 of the family's 1533-position model. The record is from RNAcentral.
GACGUAGGGCGCGAGCGUUGUCCGGAUUUAUUGGGCGUAAAGAGCUCGUAGGCGGUCUGUCGCGUCUGCUGUGAAACUCAGGGCUUAACCCUGAGCUUGCAGUGGGUACGGGCAGACUAGAGUGCGGUAGGGGAGACUGGAAUUCCUGGUGUAGCGGUGAAAUGCGCAGAUAUCAGGAGGAACACCGAUGGCGAAGGCAGGUCUCUGGGCCAGCUACUGACGCUGGAGAAGCGAAAGCAUCGGGGAGCGA